This 497-nucleotide ribosomal RNA is filed under the name uncultured bacterium. RNAcentral describes it as "partial 16S ribosomal RNA". It matches the Rfam family "Bacterial small subunit ribosomal RNA", at positions 28 to 507 of the family's 1533-position model. The record is from RNAcentral.
GAUGAACGCUGGCGGCGUGCCUAAUACAUGCAAGUCGAGCGAACAGACGAGGAGCUUGCUCCUCUGACGUUAGCGGCGGACGGGUGAGUAACACGUGGAUAACCUACCUAUAAGACUGGGAUAACUUCGGGAAACCGGAGCUAAUACCGGAUAAUAUAUUGAACCGCAUGGUUCAAUAGUGAAAGACGGUUUUGCUGUCACUUAUAGAUGGAUCCGCGCCGCAUUAGCUAGUUGGUAAGGUAACGGCUUACCAAGGCAACGAUGCGUAGCCGACCUGAGAGGGUGAUCGGCCACACUGGAACUGAGACACGGUCCAGACUCCUACGGGAGGCAGCAGUAGGGAAUCUUCCGCAAUGGGCGAAAGCCUGACGGAGCAACGCCGCGUGAGUGAUGAAGGUCUUCGGAUCGUAAAACUCUGUUAUUGGGGAAGAACAAAUGUGUAGGUAACUAUGCACGUCUUGACGGUACCUAAUCAGAAAGCCACGGCUAACUACGUG